Molecule: transfer RNA, 75 nt
Filed under: Arsukibacterium sp. MJ3
Lineage: Bacteria; Pseudomonadati; Pseudomonadota; Gammaproteobacteria; Chromatiales; Chromatiaceae
Also listed under: 2 other names
Description: tRNA-Gly
Rfam family: tRNA
About the family: Transfer RNA (tRNA) molecules are approximately 80 nucleotides in length. Their secondary structure includes four short double-helical elements and three loops (D, anti-codon, and T loops). Further hydrogen bonds mediate the characteristic L-shaped molecular structure. tRNAs have two regions of fundamental functional importance: the anti-codon, which is responsible for specific mRNA codon recognition, and the 3' end, to which the tRNAs corresponding amino acid is attached (by aminoacyl-tRNA synthetases). tRNAs cope with the degeneracy of the genetic code in two manners: having more than one tRNA (with a specific anti-codon) for a particular amino acid; and 'wobble' base-pairing, i.e. permitting non-standard base-pairing at the 3rd anti-codon position.
Source: RNAcentral
GCGGGCAUCGUAUAAUGGCUAUUACCUCAGCCUUCCAAGCUGAAGACGCGGGUUCGAUUCCCGCUGCCCGCUCCA